CUCUGUUGCCCAGUCUGGAUCUCCGCUCACUACAACCUUCGCCUCUCAGGCUCAAGCGAGUCUCAAGCCUCAGCCUCCGGAGUAGCUGGGAUUACAGGCGCAGGCCACCACGCCCGGAACCUAAGAAUCUUGAAAGGAAAGAGAAAGAACUAACAUUUUCGUGACUGAGAACUGGAUGAUGACAAAUGAGAAAAUAAACACAAUAAAGGCAAGUUUGCGGGGGGUGAUAGAGCAGAGCGAGUUGUGAUCCCCGCUCCGUCACCACGUUCGUUUCGUUCCUCUGGACUACUGGGUUAAUGAUACCGGCAAUCAGCGCAAAGCGAGAUAAUCACCAGCGCACUCUUGGAUCUGUAUACAGGUUUGUAAACUAUGUGGAGGAAACCGACCCAUCGCAGUCUCAGCCGAAGAGGCCGGAGCCGGAGCCGGAGCCGGAGCCGGAGCCAGAGCCUGAGCAGGGUCUGAAAAAAGGACCGGCCGUUCAGGACUAGGCCCUGAACUACAACUUGCUCCUCAGGGGUCCGGGUCGGAAGUGACGACUUCAUUCACUGAGCAGCCAUUUCAGGUUCCCAGUGUGUCCGAAGUUCCUUCUGGGUGUCAGAAAAGACACAAAAACUGACGGGGCGGAACCGCGACACGGUGCCUGCUGAUAUCAAAAGGUCUCACGGCUCCGGAGGGACCCAGUGGCCCACAGCCGCCAGGGGCGCCGCCGGCUCCGAGCCCGUUGUCGAGAGCCGCUGGGCUGCUCGGGUCUGCCCUUCAGUCCUUCCAACUCUCCUCGGACCUAGAGUUCCGGGAUCUCACUGCGAUCUGGGCGGAUUCUUAUGUAGAAUUCGAAAGGAUAUGGGGAAGGAAAAAAACAAAAAGAGGAACCACUUUGUUUCCGCCCGGUUUCGAACCGGGGACCUUUCGCGUGUGAGGCGAACGUGAUAACCACUACACUACGGAAACCAGGCGGUGACAGGUUGUCCACAAAUGACUCUUAAAAGUCAGAGGCUCACCACUGUGUCCCUGAUCCACGAGAAAAGUACCCGGGCGGGCCACCCACAGCUUCGGGAUCGGGGCGCGCAGGGAAGUAGCCAGCAAAGCAGGUAAGUCCCGGGCUGCUCGCGGGGGGGUUCAUGACUGAGGGCACAGGGGUGAACUCGAUGGUGCUUCCUCAGGAAACUUCCGGCGCAGUCAGGGCUGCAGCCAGAGCCCCGAGAUAGUUGGGCAGGGCUCCAGGCGUCCCCGAAUGCUUGUCGUGGAGCUUUCCUGAUCCUGUCGGGUCCCUAAGGAGCGUUUGGCGGGGAGCGUGGACGCCCUGGGGCCAGGCCACCGCGGUCACUGAGAGCCACCCCCCCGGAAACUGGAGAAAAACGGAGUAGAAGAGACCUAGGGGACAGACUUGGCCGGGUCAAGGGAAACCAGCUCAUAUUUGGAACAAAAUACGCCUUAUGUUUGCCCAGCACUGAAUUUAGAAGCAUUUUCACAUUCUCGAGUUUAACUAGUUUUACAACACUGCCACGAGCAAAGUAUUAAACGUGUUUUAAAGAUAAAGAGACUGAAGCUAGGUAAAUUGGACUUGGGUAAGAUGGAAGCGCUACUUAACGUUAAGGAGAGUCUGCGACCCUGAUGUUCUCAGGCUGUAUCUCGCUUAGUGGGACUACACCUUAUUAUUGUCCGAGGAAACAAAUGAAAAGGAAAGAGACCGUGGAGAGUAUUCCUGGAGGGACUCAAGAUACCGCUGUAGGUAGAACCCCAAGAUAGCUGUGUAGAGUGACAGCUGAUGUCGAAUGACUUCAUCUUUUCCACUGCUGCGGGUGAAAUUAUCUGAGGAGGUAGGAAGAGGAGAUGGUUUAGGGAUGCCAUAUGACAAAGGCUUUGGAAAAUUAAGAAGAGGCCGGACGCGGUGGCUCACGCCUGUAAUCCCAGCACUUUGGGAGUCCGAGGCGGGCGGAUCUCACCUAGGAUCAGGAGUUCCAGACCAGCCUGGCUAACAUGGUGAAACGCCAUUUCUACUAAAAAUACAAAAAUUAUCUGGGCGUGGUGGCGCGCGCCUGUAAUCCCAGCUACUCGGGAGGCUGAGGCAGGAGAAUAGCUUGAACCCGGGAGGCUCAGGUUGCAGUGAGCCGAGAUCGCGCCAUUACACUCCAGACUGGAUGAAAGAGCAAAACUUCGUCAAAAAAAAAAAAAAAAAAAAAAAAAAGAAGAAGAAAAUUAAGAAGAGAAGGAUGAGAGAAUUACCAAGGCAGCAGUGAAGACUUACGUGGUGUUGUAUGAUACAAAUGUCCAGGGGCUAGCAUGGAACAAUGUUGGCUGACUGCGCCAGGAGCUCUAAUCUGGCAAGAAUCUAGAGGAGAAGGUGGAUUGUGGGAUGAAUAAGCAAAGGAGGAGGGUUAAGGAGUUGGGGGUGGUAGUGAGAGAGCAGAAGAGAAGCACCUGGUUACAGGUUGAGGCUGUGCAGAAUGUAGAAAGACAUCAGAGAUGUUCAAUGGUGCUCACUUCGGCAGCACAUAUGCUAACAUUGGAAUAAUACAGAGAAAAUUAACAUGGCCCCUGUGCAAGGCUGAUGUACAAAUUCAUGAACUGUUCCUUUUUUUUUUUUUUUUAAAGAAAUGUCCAAUGGACUGAAUGCUAGACAGAUAAUAGUUUAUCAGGUUAAGGAACUUUAUCAAAAAAUUGGCUUAAAUAAUAAAGGGAAAAUAUUGCCUCACAAUCCUAGGUAGAUCUGGGCUUCAGGUAAGUCUUCACACAAGGCUCAAAGAAGUCUCUGGGCCAGGCGCGGUGGCUCACGCCUGUAAUCCCAGCACUUUGGGAGAUAGAGGCAGGCAGAUCACCUGAGGUCAAAAAUCCAAGACCAGCCUGGUAUUACUAAAAAUACAAAAUAAUUAGCCGUGCAUAGUGGUGCGCACCUGUAGUCCCAGCUACGUGGGAGGCUGAGGCAUGAGAAUUGCUUGAACCCAGGCGGUGGAGGCUGCAGUGAGCCGAGAUUGCACCACUGCACUCCAGCCCGAGCAACAGAGUGAGACUCCAUCUCAAUUAAUAAUAAUAAUAAAGAAGUAUCUGGUUUC
Long non-coding RNA from Gorilla gorilla gorilla (western lowland gorilla), 3050 nucleotides. RefSeq lists it as uncharacterized. The transcript is spliced from 2 exons. The record is from RefSeq and is a predicted model, not a curated record. Lineage: Eukaryota; Metazoa; Chordata; Mammalia; Primates; Hominidae.